UGGUCAAGUUAUUAAGGGUGCAGGGCGGAUGCCUUGGCACUAGGAGCCGAUGAAGGACGUGAUAAGCUGCGAUAAGCUUCGGGGAGUUGCACGUAAACUUUGAUCCGAAGAUUUCCGAAUGAGGAAACUCACUUAGAGUAAUGUCUAAGUAUCAUUAAGUGAAUACAUAGCUUAAUGAGGGGAACUCAGGGAACUGAAACAUCUAAGUACCUGAAGGAAGAGAAAGAAAUUCGAUUCCGUAAGUAGCGGCGAGCGAACGCGGAUUAGCCCAAACCAAUAAAGUUUUCUUUAUUGGGGUUGCGGACAUAUCAUAACGAAGAGGUAUCGUAAUUGAAGAGGUUUGGAAAGACCCACCACAGAAGGUAAUAGUCCUGUAUGUUAAACGAGAAGACUUUAGAUAUGAUCCAGAGUACCACGGGACACGUGAAACCCUGUGGGAAGCAGGGAGGGACCACCCUCCAAGGCUAAAUACUACCUAGUGACCGAUAGCGUAUAGUACCGUGAGGGAAAGGUGAAAAGAACCCCGGGAGGGGGAGUGAAAUAGAACCUGAAACCCUGCACUUACAAGCUGUGGAAGCACAUUUCUUGUGUGACCGCGUACUUUUUUGUAGAACGGGCCAACGAGUUACGUUAAGUAGCAAGGUUAAGCACUUAAGGUGCGGAGCCGUAGCGAAAGCGAGUUUUAACUGAGCGUUCAGUUACUUGACGUAGACCCGAAACCGGGCGACCUACCCAUGAGCAGGAUGAAGCGAAAGUAAAAUUUCGUGGAGGUCCGAACCCACGAGCGUUGAAAAGCUCGGGGAUGACUUGUGGGUAGCGGUGAAAUUCCAAUCGAGCCCGGAGAUAGCUGGUUCUCCCCGAAAUAGCUUUAGGGCUAGCCUCAAGGUGAGAGAUACGGAGGUAGAGCACUGAAUGUCCUAGGGGGUAUUGCACCUACCGAAGACUAUCAAACUCCGAAUGCCGUCAUCUUAUACUUGGGAGUCAGACUGUGGGUGAUAAGAUUCAUAGUCGAAAGGGCAACAGCCCAGAUCGUCAGCUAAGGUCCCUAAAUGUAAGUUAAGUGGUAAAGGAUGUGGGAUUGCACAGACAACCAGGAUGUUGGCUUAGAAGCAGCCACUCAUUCAAAGAGUGCGUAAUAGCUCACUGGUCGAGUGAUCCUGCGCCGAAGAUUUCCGGGGCUAAAACUUACUACCGAAGCUACGGCAUCAGUAAUGAUGGGUAGGGGAGCUUCCCAUACGGGUUGAAGCAUGACCGUAAGGACAUGUGGACAGUAUGGGAGUGAGAAUGUUGGCAUGAGUAGCGAGAUGUGGGUGAGAAUCCCACAGGCCGUAAACCCAAGGUUUCCAGGGGGAAGGUUCGUCCGCCCUGGGUUAGUCGGGACCUAAGCUGAGGCCGAAAGGCGUAGGUGAUGGACAACAGGUUGAUAUUCCUGUACUACCGAUAACCGUUUGAGAGAUGGGAUGACACAGUAGGAUAAGCUAAGCACACUGUUGGUUAUGUGUGCCCAAGCAUUGAGGCAGUCAAAGUAGGCAAAUCCGCUUUGAUAAUGCUGGGAUGUGAUGGGGAGCGAAAUUUAGUAGCGAAGUAGCUGAUUUCACACUGUCAAGAAAAGUCUCUAUCGAGGUUAAAGGUACCCGUACCGCAAACCGACACAGGUGGGUGAGGAGAGUAUCCUAAGGCUAGCGAGAGAACUGUUGUUAAGGAACUCGGCAAAAUGACCCCGUAACUUAGGGAUAAGGGGUGCCACCAUCAGGUGGCCGCAGAGAAUAGGCCCAAGCGACUGUUUACCAAAAACAUAGGUUUCUGCUAAGUCGCAAGACGAUGUAUAGGAGCUGACGCCUGCCCGGUGCUGGAAGGUUAAGGGGAUCUGUUAGAGCAAUCGAAGCAGUGAACUUAAGCCCCAGUAAACGGCGGCCGUAACUAUAACGGUCCUAAGGUAGCGAAAUUCCUUGUCGGGUAAGUUCCGACCCGCACGAAAGGCGUAACGAUUUGGGCACUGUCUCAACAACAGACUCGGUGAAAUUGUAAUUCCGGUGAAGAUGCCGGAUACCUGCGACAGGACGGAAAGACCCCAUGGAGCUUUACUGUAGCUUGACAUUGGGUCUUGGUACUACAUGUACAGGAUAGGUGGGAGGCUUUGAAACCAGGACGCCAGUUUUGGCGGAGCCAUCCUUGGGAUACCACCCUUGUAGUACUGGGACUCUAACCAUAGGCCAUGAAUCUGGUCUUGGGACACUGUCAGGUGGGCAGUUUGACUGGGGCGGUCGCCUCCCAAAAGGUAACGGAGGCGCUCAAAGGUUCUCUCAGUACGGUCGGAAAUCGUACGUAGAGUGUAAAGGCAAAAGAGAGCUUGAUUGCAAGACAUACAGGUCGAGCAAGGAUGAAAAUCGGACUUAGUGAUCCGGUGGUUCUGCGUGGAAGGGCCAUCGCUCAACGGAUAAAAGCUACCCUGGGGAUAACAGGCUUAUCUCCCCCAAGAGUCCACAUCGACGGGGAGGUUUGGCACCUCGAUGUCGGCUCAUCACAUCCUGGGGCUGUAGUAGGUCCCAAGGGUUGGGCUGUUCGCCCAUUAAAGUGGUACGCGAGCUGGGUUCAGAACGUCGUGAGACAGUUCGGUCCCUAUCCGUCGCAGGCGUAGGAAAUUUGAGAAGACCUGUCCUUAGUACGAGAGGACCGGGAUGGACGUACCUCUGGUGUACCAGUUGUUCUGCCAAGGGCAUGGCUGGGUAGCUAUGUACGGAAUGGAUAAGCGCUGAAAGCAUCUAAGCGCGAAGCCAACUUCAAGAUAAGAUUUCCCACCGCAAGGGUAAGACCCCAGAAAGACUAUCUGGUUGAUAGGUCGAAGGUGUAAGUGCAGCAAUGUAUUUAGCUUAUCGAUACUAAUAGGUCGAGGACUUGACCAAU
RNAcentral lists this ribosomal RNA (2904 nucleotides) under Clostridioides difficile. RNAcentral describes it as "23S ribosomal RNA". It matches the Rfam family "Bacterial large subunit ribosomal RNA". The record is from RNAcentral. Lineage: Bacteria; Bacillati; Bacillota; Clostridia; Peptostreptococcales; Peptostreptococcaceae.